CCCUUAGAUGUUCUGGGCUGCACGCGUGCUACAAUGGCGUUUCCAGCAAGUCUGCGAACCCGAGAGGGCCAGCGGAUCUUCGAAUUGGCGUCGUGAUCGGGACAGUCGAUUGCAAUUAUUUGACUCAAACGAGGAAUUCCUUGUAAUCGCGAUUCAUCAUAUCGCGCUGAAUACGUCCCUGCCCUUUGUACACACCGCCCGUCGCUCCUACCGAUUGAGCGAUCCGGUAAAUGUUUUGGAUCGGUGCCGGGGCGGCUAGCUGCCGGUCGCUACGAAAUUUUGUGAACCUUAUCGCUUAGAGGAAGGAAAAGUCGUAACA
Molecule: ribosomal RNA, 319 nt
Filed under: uncultured eukaryote
Lineage: Eukaryota
Description: partial 18S ribosomal RNA
Rfam family: Eukaryotic small subunit ribosomal RNA
Source: RNAcentral